This 461-nucleotide ribosomal RNA is filed under the name uncultured bacterium. RNAcentral describes it as "bacterial SSU rRNA". It matches the Rfam family "Bacterial small subunit ribosomal RNA", at positions 917 to 1382 of the family's 1533-position model. The record is from RNAcentral.
GGACCCGCACAAGCGGUGGAUGAUGUGGAUUAAUUCGAUGCAACGCGAAAAACCUUACCUACCCUUGACAUGUACGGAACCCUGCUGAGAGGUGGGGGUGCUCGAAAGAGAACCGUAACACAGGUGCUGCAUGGCUGUCGUCAGCUCGUGUCGUGAGAUGUUGGGUUAAGUCCCGCAACGAGCGCAACCCUUGUCAUUAGUUGCUACGAAAGGGCACUCUAAUGAGACUGCCGGUGACAAACCGGAGGAAGGUGGGGAUGACGUCAAGUCCUCAUGGCCCUUAUGGGUAGGGCUUCACACGUCAUACAAUGGUACAUACAGAGGGCCGCCAACCCGCGAGGGGGAGCUAAUCCCAGAAAGUGUAUCGUAGUCCGGAUUGCAGUCUGCAACUCGACUGCAUGAAGUUGGAAUCGCUAGUAAUCGCGGAUCAGCAUGUCGCGGUGAAUACGUUCCCGGGUCUU